This 484-nucleotide ribosomal RNA is filed under the name uncultured bacterium. RNAcentral's name for it is "partial 16S ribosomal RNA". It matches the Rfam family "Bacterial small subunit ribosomal RNA", at positions 29 to 507 of the family's 1533-position model. The record is from RNAcentral.
AUUGAACGCUGGCGGAAUGCUUUACACAUGCAAGUCGAACGGCAGCACGGGGGCAGCCCUGGUGGCGAGUGGCGAACGGGUGAGUGAUACAUCGGAACGUGCCCGGUCGUGGGGGAUAACGUAGCGAAAGUUACGCUAAUACCGCAUACGAUCUGAGGAUGAAAGCGGGGGACCUUCGGGCCUCGCGCGAUCGGAGCGGCCGAUGUCAGAUUAGGUAGUUGGUGGGGUAAAGGCCUACCAAGCCGACGAUCUGUAGCUGGUCUGAGAGGACGACCAGCCACACUGGGACUGAGACACGGCCCAGACUCCUACGGGAGGCAGCAGUGGGGAAUUUUGGACAAUGGGCGCAAGCCUGAUCCAGCCAUUCCGCGUGCAGGACGAAGGCCUUCGGGUCGUAAACUGCUUUUGUACGGAACGAAAAGGCUCUGGCUAAUACCUGGGGCUCAUGACGGUACCGUAAGAAUAAGCACCGGCUAACUACGUG